This is a non-coding RNA of Decorospora gaudefroyi, 90 nucleotides long. NCBI's taxonomy places the organism in Eukaryota, Fungi, Ascomycota, Dothideomycetes, Pleosporales, Pleosporaceae. The record is from the annotation of a GenBank genome assembly.
GGUUUUGUAGUGUAGCGGUUAUCACUCCGGAUUCUGACUUUCCUCUAUCAGAGUUUUCCGGCAACCCCGGUUCGAUUCCGGGCAAGACCU